ACUCAAAUGAAUUGACGGGGGCCCGCACAAGCGGCGGAGCAUGUGGAUUAAUUCGAUGCAACGCGAAGAACCUUACCUGGGUUUGACAUGCACCAGACAGGCGUAGAGAUACGUCCUCCCUUGUGGUUGGUGUGCAGGUGGUGCAUGGCUGUCGUCAGCUCGUGUCGUGAGAUGUUGGGUUAAGUCCCGCAACGAGCGCAACCCUUGUCCCAUGUUGCCAGCGGGUUAUGCCGGGGACUCAUGGGAGACUGCCGGGGUCAACUCGGAGGAAGGUGGGGAUGACGUCAAGUCAUCAUGCCCCUUAUGUCCAGGGCUUCACACAUGCUACAAUGGCCGGUACAGAGGGCUGCGAAGCCGCGAGGUGGAGCGAAUCUCUUAAAGCCGGUCUCAGUUCGGAUCGGGGUCUGCAACUCGACCCCGUGAAGUCGGAGUCGCUAGUAAUCGCAGAUCAGCAACGCUGCGGUGAAUACGUUCCCGGGCCUUGUACACACCGCCCGU
This 498-nucleotide ribosomal RNA is filed under the name uncultured bacterium. RNAcentral's name for it is "partial 16S ribosomal RNA". It matches the Rfam family "Bacterial small subunit ribosomal RNA", at positions 899 to 1397 of the family's 1533-position model. The record is from RNAcentral.